Long non-coding RNA from Triticum aestivum (bread wheat), 976 nucleotides. RefSeq lists it as uncharacterized. NCBI's taxonomy places the organism in Eukaryota, Viridiplantae, Streptophyta, Magnoliopsida, Poales, Poaceae. The transcript has 2 exons. The record is from RefSeq and is a predicted model, not a curated record.
UUGGCGGCCGUGCUACAGGCAGGCCGCUAUCCCGGCCGUUUGUUUGGGCUUGGGGAUCUGUAAUGUGUCAGUGUGUGGCAGGCUUGCGCCAGGCCUACUACCUGAAAUACGGUCUGGAAUACAGCUAUCGGAUGCCUAGGCGUAUCCUGUUCUGCCCAUACUACUUGCCUGUUCGCGUGCGCCCAGAAAGACUGGCCCAUGGGUGCUGGUUCGAAACGGCACAGGUGAAGGAAUUCCAUGCCAACCCAUCCUCCUGCCUUACCGUGUGGACCAGACCAGAGCUCCUGUUCCGGUGACGCGCUCUCUUUCCCUCGCCCUCAUUCCUAUCCAGUCGCCUAGCCCUCCCCCCUCCCUCUCUUCUCGUCUGUGCGGUGGUUAUCGUCGGCAAACGCGCUCCCCGACCGAAGCGACGGCCGGAGCGCUCGUCCUCUUCCACGCUGGCGGCCAAACCACCCGGAUCCAGCUUCAUCUUCCACUCCGGCAGCCGAAUCACCUCGAGUUUGCGGAACACCGGAUCUGCUCAGGGGUUUCAUUGAGACUUUGAGAGCUACCUGCCAAUUGAGAGGCAUAUGCAAGUAAGGUUUACACCUGGGUGAUUUUGAUCAAUUUGGCGAACCUAUGUACAAAGCUGGUGCAUAUCGGAGGGCCACAGGUGUACAACCCGCCCCCAAAGAGGUGAUUUGCCGAAGGCUCCAAGGAAAUUGCCGAAAUGCACGAACUGUGGGGUGGUUGGACAUCGUCGCAAUGCGUGUGGCACUAAGAAGAGCAGGCCGUUUGAGCCAAACUUCCUCUAGUUACAAUCUUCAUCGCAGUGAUGGUUUAUGUAGUCGGCUUUGCAAUAUUUGUGGCAACUAUUUCUAUUUUAUGAUGCACAUGUUUCAUUUGCUGCCCGUAUUAUCGAACCAGGUCUCCUUGCCAUGUUUUAGCUGAUUUAUUUAGCAUCUCCUGGUGUGGACUGCAUAAAGCCUUUGAUCCA